RNAcentral lists this ribosomal RNA (380 nucleotides) under uncultured eukaryote. RNAcentral's name for it is "partial 18S ribosomal RNA". It matches the Rfam family "Eukaryotic small subunit ribosomal RNA", at positions 592 to 976 of the family's 1831-position model. The record is from RNAcentral.
CAAUAGCGUAUAUUAAAGUUGUUGCGGUUAAAAAGCUCGUAGUUGGAUUUCUGCUGAGGAUGACCGGUCCGCCCUCCGGGUGAGUAUCUGGCUCAGCCUUGGCAUCUUCCUGAAGAACGUAACUGCACUUGACUGUGUGGUGCGGUAUUUAGGACAUUUACUUUGAGGAAAUUAGAGUGUUUCAAGCAAGCGCACGCCUUGAAUACAUUAGCAUGGAAUAAUAAGAUAGGACCUCGGUUCUAUUUUGUUGGUUUCUAGAGCUGAGGUAAUGAUUGAUAGGGAUAGUUGGGGGCAUUCGUAUUUAACUGUCAGAGGCGAAAUUCUUGGAUUUGUUAAAGACGGACUACUGCGAAAGCAUUUGCCAAGGAUGUUUUCAUUGA